CCUACGGGAGGCAGCAGUGGGGGAUAUUGGACAAUGGGGGGAACCCUGAUCCAGCGACGCCGCGUGAGUGAAGAAGUAUCUCGGUAUGUAAAGCCCUAUCAGCCGGGGAGAAGAAAUGACGGUACCUGAGUAAGAAGCCCCGGCUAACUACGGGCCAGCAGCCGCGGUAAUACGUAGGGGGCAAGCGUUAUCCGGAAUUACGGGGUGUAAAGGGAGCGUAGACGGUGAUGUAAGGCUGGAGUGAAAGGCGGGGGCCCAACCCCCGGACUGCUCUGGAAACUAUGUGACUGGAGUGCAGGAGAGGUGAGCGGAAUUCCUAGUGUAGCGGUGAAAUGCGUAGAUAUUAGGAGGAACACCAGUGGCGAAGGCAGCUCGCUGGCCUGUAACUGACGUUGAGGUUCGAAAGCGUGGGGAGCGAACAGGAUUAGAUACCCGUGUAGUC
This 442-nucleotide ribosomal RNA is filed under the name uncultured bacterium. RNAcentral's name for it is "partial 16S ribosomal RNA". It matches the Rfam family "Bacterial small subunit ribosomal RNA", at positions 338 to 795 of the family's 1533-position model. The record is from RNAcentral.